GGGUUGUGAGGUUAAGCGACUAAGCGUACACGGUGGAUGCCCUGGCAGUCAGAGGCGAUGAAGGACGUGCUAAUCUGCGAUAAGCGUCGGUAAGGUGAUAUGAACCGUUAUAACCGGCGAUUUCCGAAUGGGGAAACCCAGUGUGUUUCGACACACUAUCAUUAACUGAAUCCAUAGGUUAAUGAGGCGAACCGGGGGAACUGAAACAUCUAAGUACCCCGAGGAAAAGAAAUCAACCGAGAUUCCCCAGUAGCGGCGAGCGAACGGGGAGCAGCCCAGAGCCUGAAUCAGUGUGUGUGUUAGUGGAAGCGUCUGGAAAGGCGCGCGAUACAGGGUGACAGCCCCGUACACAAAAAUGCACAUGCUGUGAGCUCGAUGAGUAGGGCGGGACACGUGGUAUCCUGUCUGAAUAUGGGGGGACCAUCCUCCAAGGCUAAAUACUCCUGACUGACCGAUAGUGAACCAGUACCGUGAGGGAAAGGCGAAAAGAACCCCGGCGAGGGGAGUGAAAAAGAACCUGAAACCGUGUACGUACAAGCAGUGGGAGCACGCUUAGGCGUGUGACUGCGUACCUUUUGUAUAAUGGGUCAGCGACUUAUAUUCUGUAGCAAGGUUAACCGAAUAGGGGAGCCGAAGGGAAACCGAGUCUUAACUGGGCGUUAAGUUGCAGGGUAUAGACCCGAAACCCGGUGAUCUAGCCAUGGGCAGGUUGAAGGUUGGGUAACACUAACUGGAGGACCGAACCGACUAAUGUUGAAAAAUUAGCGGAUGACUUGUGGCUGGGGGUGAAAGGCCAAUCAAACCGGGAGAUAGCUGGUUCUCCCCGAAAGCUAUUUAGGUAGCGCCUCGUGAAUUCAUCUCCGGGGGUAGAGCACUGUUUCGGCAAGGGGGUCAUCCCGACUUACCAACCCGAUGCAAACUGCGAAUACCGGAGAAUGUUAUCACGGGAGACACACGGCGGGUGCUAACGUCCGUCGUGAAGAGGGAAACAACCCAGACCGCCAGCUAAGGUCCCAAAGUCAUGGUUAAGUGGGAAACGAUGUGGGAAGGCCCAGACAGCCAGGAUGUUGGCUUAGAAGCAGCCAUCAUUUAAAGAAAGCGUAAUAGCUCACUGGUCGAGUCGGCCUGCGCGGAAGAUGUAACGGGGCUAAACCAUGCACCGAAGCUGCGGCAGCGACGCUUAUGCGUUGUUGGGUAGGGGAGCGUUCUGUAAGCCUGUGAAGGUGUGCUGUGAGGCAUGCUGGAGGUAUCAGAAGUGCGAAUGCUGACAUAAGUAACGAUAAAGCGGGUGAAAAGCCCGCUCGCCGGAAGACCAAGGGUUCCUGUCCAACGUUAAUCGGGGCAGGGUGAGUCGACCCCUAAGGCGAGGCCGAAAGGCGUAGUCGAUGGGAAACAGGUUAAUAUUCCUGUACUUGGUGUUACUGCGAAGGGGGGACGGAGAAGGCUAUGUUGGCCGGGCGACGGUUGUCCCGGUUUAAGCGUGUAGGCUGGUUUUCCAGGCAAAUCCGGAAAAUCAAGGCUGAGGCGUGAUGACGAGGCACUACGGUGCUGAAGCAACAAAUGCCCUGCUUCCAGGAAAAGCCUCUAAGCAUCAGGUAACAUCAAAUCGUACCCCAAACCGACACAGGUGGUCAGGUAGAGAAUACCAAGGCGCUUGAGAGAACUCGGGUGAAGGAACUAGGCAAAAUGGUGCCGUAACUUCGGGAGAAGGCACGCUGAUAUGUAGGUGAAGUCCCUCGCGGAUGGAGCUGAAAUCAGUCGAAGAUACCAGCUGGCUGCAACUGUUUAUUAAAAACACAGCACUGUGCAAACACGAAAGUGGACGUAUACGGUGUGACGCCUGCCCGGUGCCGGAAGGUUAAUUGAUGGGGUUAGCGGUAACGCGAAGCUCUUGAUCGAAGCCCCGGUAAACGGCGGCCGUAACUAUAACGGUCCUAAGGUAGCGAAAUUCCUUGUCGGGUAAGUUCCGACCUGCACGAAUGGCGUAAUGAUGGCCAGGCUGUCUCCACCCGAGACUCAGUGAAAUUGAACUCGCUGUGAAGAUGCAGUGUACCCGCGGCAAGACGGAAAGACCCCGUGAACCUUUACUAUAGCUUGACACUGAACAUUGAGCCUUGAUGUGUAGGAUAGGUGGGAGGCUUAGAAGUGUGGACGCCAGUCUGCAUGGAGCCGACCUUGAAAUACCACCCUUUAAUGUUUGAUGUUCUAACGUUGACCCGUAAUCCGGGUUGCGGACAGUGUCUGGUGGGUAGUUUGACUGGGGCGGUCUCCUCCUAAAGAGUAACGGAGGAGCACGAAGGUUGGCUAAUCCUGGUCGGACAUCAGGAGGUUAGUGCAAUGGCAUAAGCCAGCUUGACUGCGAGCGUGACGGCGCGAGCAGGUGCGAAAGCAGGUCAUAGUGAUCCGGUGGUUCUGAAUGGAAGGGCCAUCGCUCAACGGAUAAAAGGUACUCCGGGGAUAACAGGCUGAUACCGCCCAAGAGUUCAUAUCGACGGCGGUGUUUGGCACCUCGAUGUCGGCUCAUCACAUCCUGGGGCUGAAGUAGGUCCCAAGGGUAUGGCUGUUCGCCAUUUAAAGUGGUACGCGAGCUGGGUUUAGAACGUCGUGAGACAGUUCGGUCCCUAUCUGCCGUGGGCGCUGGAGAACUGAGGGGGGCUGCUCCUAGUACGAGAGGACCGGAGUGGACGCAUCACUGGUGUUCGGGUUGUCAUGCCAAUGGCACUGCCCGGUAGCUAAAUGCGGAAGAGAUAAGUGCUGAAAGCAUCUAAGCACGAAACUUGCCCCGAGAUGAGUUCUCCCUGACUCCUUGAGAGUCCUGAAGGAACGUUGAAGACGACGACGUUGAUAGGCCGGGUGUGUAAGCGCAGCGAUGCGUUGAGCUAACCGGUACUAAUGAACCGUGAGGCUUAACCUUACAACGCCGAAGCUGUU
RNAcentral lists this ribosomal RNA (2931 nucleotides) under Escherichia coli. Its description in RNAcentral is "23S ribosomal RNA". It matches the Rfam family "Bacterial large subunit ribosomal RNA". The record is from RNAcentral. Lineage: Bacteria; Pseudomonadati; Pseudomonadota; Gammaproteobacteria; Enterobacterales; Enterobacteriaceae.